RNAcentral lists this small RNA (582 nucleotides) under Homo sapiens (human). RNAcentral describes it as "LENG8 antisense RNA 1 (ENSG00000275470.4)". The record is from RNAcentral. Lineage: Eukaryota; Metazoa; Chordata; Mammalia; Primates; Hominidae.
UAAACUGGCGUGACAGGAGUUCCGGGAUUGUCCACAGCACGGUGAUGUGGAAGCCCUGGGGAGAGAAUGAUAAAGAAAGGGGAUGAGGAACAGCUCCACCCGGAAGAGCGGGCUUCCCUAGCAAAUGAAUCUGGAAGGGCGCAGGGGAGGGGGCACGGCGAGUUCAGAUGGACCGAGGCUGGAAGCUGACGCGGUUGGAGGGGGAUGGGUGUAGCUGUUGGCAGUGGCGCUGGGGUGGAAGUGUGUGGGGUCACAGAUGUGUAAGGGUGGGCGCGGAGCAGACCCCCGAAGGUCCCUGAGGUCAGGCUGAGGCAUUGGACCAAAUCCGUACAUAGGCAUUUCUCUGAACUGCGCGCCACCUUUUGAGUGCCAUCUGUUUCCGUCCAGGACUCUGAUACAACUAUCCAGUCCGCUGCAGGGACCGGUCACUGCGUCACAGGUUCUCCAGAGGGCCAGAACUAACAGGAUAUAUGUAUAUAUUGAAAGGGAGUAUAUUAGGGAGAACUGGCUGACAGGAUCAUCAGGCAAAGUCCCACUAUAGUCCAUCUGCAAGCUGAGGAAGGAAGAAGCCAGUCACGUCUC